CGUCGCCCGGGUGACGGUGUGGAAUAUUGCCACUUUGCCAUUUUACAGGUUGUUUGCAGCAUCAUUAGACCGACUACUGCCGCGGCACAUCACAAAGAGAUCUAUGGACACUCAAUAUAUGAACCAACACUGAUAAGAUCAAAGAUAGCAAGACUGUCCUCAGAUACAUGGACAAUAUCAACACGACUGGGAAGAGAAUUUUGUGGAACUAUCCCGCAGUGGACGUGUCUGCUGAAGAACGUCUUCUGACAUAUAAUCAGAAGUGAGCAAAAUAAUAAAAGCCAUCAACCAGAUGAAAAGCAAAAAAGCUUCAAGUCCAACAAUAUUUAUGGGUAAGUAUUGAAACAUGGGGGAGAGACAACUCUUAGAUCAACACACUAUUUAUGAAAGUCUCACAGAAGGAAAAUGUUUCAACUCAGUUUAGUGAGAUAUUAUUACACACGUUUGGAGGUUGUGGGACUUGGAACUGGAUUUACCCGGACUAGAGGUAGGAACACUACAACUGCACCACAAGAGCUCCGUCUGGACCACUUACGUACAUAGUGUGACUACACCAAAGUCUGCCCUCCAUCUACAAAGCACAAGUCAGGAAUAUGAUGAAUUAAUCCUGAUUUGCCUAGAUGAAUGUGGAUCUGACAGCACUCAGAAUAUCAACACCAUUUGGACAAAACAAACCACUUGAUUAGCACUCCAUUCACACCCUAAUCAUUCACUCCCUCCACAAGCCACAAUGGCAGCAAUGUGUACCAUAUACAAGAUGAGUUGCAGCAACCCCUUUAAUUGUAAUAUCCAAACCUGUAACAACUAGCAGGUAGAUGCACACAAGUAGCAUUUGUUUGCGAAUAUCACCACCUGCACGUUUCUCAAUCCACAGAUCAUCCUGACUUAAAACUAUAUCAUUGUUCUUUUACUGUUGCUGGGCCAGAAAGAUAGAGUUCCCUUCCCUACACCGUUGGUGUACAUAGCACAUGGGCUGCAGCAGAUCAAGAAAACAACUUAACAUCACCUUGUCACUUUCUGUAUGUAUUUGAAACAAAUGUUGACCUU
This is a long non-coding RNA of Rhincodon typus (whale shark), 1047 nucleotides long. RefSeq lists it as uncharacterized. The transcript has 3 exons. The record is from RefSeq and is a predicted model, not a curated record. Lineage: Eukaryota; Metazoa; Chordata; Chondrichthyes; Orectolobiformes; Rhincodontidae.